GCCCGAGUCAGCAGUGGCAACCUGCUCAGGUCCCCUUCCACGCCAUGGAAGCUUUGUUCUUUUGCUCUUUGCAAUAAAUCUUGCUGCUGUUCACUCUUUGGGUCCACAUGGCCUUUAUGAGCUGUAACACUCACCAUGAAGGUCUGCAGCUUCACUCCUGAAGCCAGUGAGAUCAUGGACCCCUGGGGAGGGACGAACAACUCCAGACGCGCCACCUUUAAGAGCUGUAACACUCACUGCGAAGGUCUGCAGCUUCACUCCUGAAGUCAGCGAGACCACAAACCCACCAGAAGGAAGAAACUCCAGACACAUCUGAACAUCUGAAGGAAUGAACUCUGGACACACAAUCUUUAAGAACUGUAACACUCACUGCGAGGGUCCAUGGCUUCAUUCUUGAAGUCAGCAAGACCAAGAACCCACUAAUUCUGGACACAUUUUGGCAGCCCAGAUGGGACUAUCGCCUAUCACCAAGCGGUGAGUACCAUCAGACCUCUUUCACUUGCUAUUCUGUCCUAUUUUUCCUUAGAAUUCGGGGGCUAAAUACCGGGCACCUGUCGGCCAGUUAAAAGCAACUAGCAUGGCUGCCAGACUAAAGACACGGGUGUCAGGCUUUCUGGGAAAGGGCUCUCUAACAACCCCCGACUCUUCGGAGUGGGAGGGUUGGUUUGCUUGGAACCAGCUUCCGCUUUUCCCGUACUUCUGGGCUGAGCCGAGGGUUGACAGAGAGGAAAGCCAUUCAGCUCCAGGGUCCCAACAACAAGUUUGUUGACCCUGCGGCCAUGAGCGGAAUUCUCAAAGGCAUGUCGCCCAAGCGAGACUCACCCAUCUAUCCUAUCUAUCCUGACCCUUGCCCCCUGGGUCCUAAUGCCUG
This 871-nucleotide long non-coding RNA is filed under the name Homo sapiens (human). Its description in RNAcentral is "HSALNT0008035". The record is from RNAcentral. Lineage: Eukaryota; Metazoa; Chordata; Mammalia; Primates; Hominidae.